UACAGAGACUGCAAGCGUUAUUCGGAUUCACUGGGCGUAAAGGGUGCGCAGGCGGCCAAGUGUGUUAGGUGUGAAAAGCCCCGGGGGCUUAACCCCCGGAAUUGCACCUAAAAACUACAUGGCUAGAGCAUUGGAGAGGGGAGCAGAAUUCACGGUGUAGCAGUGAAAUGCGUAGAUAUCGUGAGGAAUACCAGAGGCGAAGGCGGCUCCCUGGACAAUUGCUGACGCUCAGGCACGAAAGCGUGGGGAGCAAAAGGG
Molecule: ribosomal RNA, 258 nt
Filed under: uncultured bacterium
Lineage: Bacteria
Description: partial 16S ribosomal RNA
Rfam family: Bacterial small subunit ribosomal RNA
Source: RNAcentral